CAUCUCCGCCAUCGAAAAUUAGACAACCAUGGUAUCUUUCUUAACCACAAUGAGACAGAGAAUUGCCGCCACCUCCUUCCCUUACGCUCCGCCAAGGGUGGGUGGGCUAAAAGGGGCCACCUUUCUCCCCCACCUCUACUCGAGUGCUGGGGCCCCUUCACAAAAGCCACCAUCCUCUUCUGUGCAACCUUCAACCUAGCCAUGCACACCUCAUCUUCAACGCUAUCUUCCUCUUCUUUGUCGUCAUAUUGGAGAGGAUACCAUCAUUACUCAUGAGUCCCACCUUAACUUCGCCGAGUUCUUUUCGCCGAUAGCCCCCUUGAUCUCUUUGAUGGCCUCCAUCGCCCAUGCCUCUUCGAGUUUAUCUCGAUGUUCGAGGAACUGGGGGCACGGUAUAUGUGGAUGGCGGGGUUGGGGUUAAGCAACCAGUAGACUCGUACAAAAGGAAAUUGAAGAGGACAAUGAGCAAGCGGAAUGCUCCAGAAUCCAUGGUGGAGCUGGAGGGCGCAGGUUCAAAUGGUGCUGGUGGGCGAAGGAAAAAAAAAAAAAUCCAGCUUACGUGUUGGUGGUAGCUGGUCUCUAUUCGGUAGUUUCUGAUUUGGGUUUUGUCGAUGGAGGCCCAAACCUGAAACAUGACGACCUCUUCCUUGCCACCGUCUCGAAAGGAUCAAUUUUUUCCAAACCGAGCAAAAAUGCGUUAGUAUUUUUUUUUAAAUGUAUCUUUCUUGUUGAGAUCUGUCCUUCCCGCAAUCAAGAAAAAAGAAAAGAGAGGGUACCAUAACGCCUUUAGGAUGGAAUUUA
This is a long non-coding RNA of Elaeis guineensis (African oil palm), 801 nucleotides long. RefSeq lists it as uncharacterized. The record is from RefSeq and is a predicted model, not a curated record. Lineage: Eukaryota; Viridiplantae; Streptophyta; Magnoliopsida; Arecales; Arecaceae.